This 730-nucleotide long non-coding RNA is filed under the name Homo sapiens (human). RNAcentral's name for it is "non-protein coding lnc-MSL2-6:1". Lineage: Eukaryota; Metazoa; Chordata; Mammalia; Primates; Hominidae. The record is from RNAcentral.
AGUGGCGGCUUCAGGAGAGAGCGGGACUUCGUGUGGCGGAGGCAGCAUUUAUGACCUUCUACAGUGAGGUGAAACAAAUAGAGAAGAGAGACUUGGUUCUAACGUGAAAAAAUCAGAUUGAAAGACUGACCUGUCCUGGUUCCUCUUACUUCAGUUUCACCCCAUUUGAGGUUCUUCAGAUCCUGAAGUUACAGAUGAAGAAAUAAAAAAGCGGCAGUUAUCCAUCUUGGUGCAUCCUGACAAAAAUCAAGAUGAUGCUGACAGAGCACAAAAGGCUUUUGAGGCUGUGGACAAAGCUUACAAGUUGCUACUAGAUCAGGAGCAAAAGAAGAGGACCCUGGAUGUAAUUCAGGCAGGAAAAGAAUACGUUGACCACACUGUGAAAGAGCGAAAAAAACAAAGAAGGAAGGAAAACCUACAAUUGUAGAGGAGGAUGAUCCUGAGCUGUUCAAACAAGCUGUAUAUAAACAGACAAUGAAACUCUUUGCUGAGCUGGAAAUUAAAAGGAAAGAGAGAGAAGCCAAAGAGAUGCUGAAAGGAAACGACAAAGGGGAGAAGAGAUUGAAGCUCAAGAAAAAGCCAAACGGGAAAGAGAGUGGCAGAAAAACUUUGAGGAAAGUCGAGAUGGUUGUGUGGACAGCUGGCGAAACUUCCAAGCCAAUACAAAGGGGAAGAAAGAGAAGAUAAAUCGGACCUUCCUGAGACCACCGAAAGUAAAAAUGGAGCAGCG